This 440-nucleotide ribosomal RNA is filed under the name uncultured bacterium. RNAcentral describes it as "bacterial SSU rRNA". It matches the Rfam family "Bacterial small subunit ribosomal RNA", at positions 338 to 795 of the family's 1533-position model. The record is from RNAcentral.
CCUACGGGAGGCAGCAGUGGGGAAUAUUGGACAAUGGACGCAAGUCUGAUCCAGCAAUGCCGCGUGAGUGAUGAAGGCCUUAGGGUUGUAAAGCUCUUUUACCAGGGAUGAUAAUGACAGUACCUGGAGAAUAAGCUCCGGCUAACUCCGUGCCAGCAGCCGCGGUAAUACGGAGGGAGCUAGCGUUGUUCGGAAUUACUGGGCGUAAAGCGCACGUAGGCGGUUACUCAAGUCAGAGGUGAAAGCCCGGGGCUCAACCCCGGAACUGCCUUUGAAACUAGGUAACUAGAAUCCUGGAGAGGUGAGUGGAAUUCCGAGUGUAGAGGUGAAAUUCGUAGAUAUUCGGAAGAACACCAGUGGCGAAGGCGGCUCACUGGACAGGUAUUGACGCUGAGGUGCGAAAGCGUGGGGAGCAAACAGGAUUAGAUACCCUUGUAGUC